This is a long non-coding RNA of Alligator sinensis (Chinese alligator), 1105 nucleotides long. RefSeq lists it as uncharacterized. The record is from RefSeq and is a predicted model, not a curated record. NCBI's taxonomy places the organism in Eukaryota, Metazoa, Chordata, Crocodylia, Alligatoridae. The transcript has 4 exons.
UGGUUAUGGCAUGGCAGGGACCUAGAUGUAGCUAAACAUCUGUGUAAGCUUGGGGAGAGAGUCAAGUUCCCUGGGCAGAAAAGGACUGGGUUUUACAGCUGCCUUCCUGGGAGACCUUGCAUUGGAUGAGGAAGGCCUCUGGACGUUUCAGGUGGAUGGCAUCACGGACAUUGUAUGCCACACCAUCUUCAGGGCGGCCGCCAACGCUUCAGGUGCUGUUCCUAUACGGGCUGCAGGGGAGUGGGUCCUCAGGCCAACUCGAUCAGCAGUGUGACACAUUUGGCAUGGUAGUUCAUGAGCUGGGAUUUGUCAUUGGCCUUCUGGCCUGAGUACACCAGCCUGUACCUGGACAACCACAUGGCUGCCAUCCAGGAGAAUAUACCAGGGAGAUUAUCUUUGAUACCAUCCUGCCCAAAUAUGAAGUGAACGGGUUGUACCCCUCCAUCAGCUAUUGUGCUUGUCUGAGCAAAAGUGAUACGAGUCCCAAGCCCAAAUCUUCUGAAACCUGGGACCAAGACCCCCAGUAACAACGACAUUCACUCGUGGGAAUGAGAGGCUCAUUGUGUCAUCCCUGAGCUGUGGCACUGCUUUCCCAUGGCUAUAUAAAAUGAGAACUCCCCAGCCCAGGAGCUCUAGCAGCAGAAGCCCUGUUCACCCAGAAAGCCAAGAAGGGUGUCUGUGGUGCAAGCUGUUGCCAGCUUCCCCCUGCUCCCAUAGCAGCCAGGGCAUGAUCAAUCCCGGAUGACUUUCCUAAAUGCAGGUCCUGCCAAGCCCUUAGCAGCUUUGCAGGAUUGCUUCAGGGUGGGAAGUGUCAAUGUAUAGCACAGGCCCGUGGAGAACAGAGACCCAUCACGGACCAGUGUUGGAGACAAAUAUACACACCAGCCCAGGGGAGGGAGCUGCCACCCAGGUCUCCAGGUUGCUCGUUACCGCCAGGACCAGAUUUGAACAUUGGUGGAACUCCAACAAUCAGCAAGGUGAAUCCUGAUUUUCCUCUGGCUUAGCCUGCGAUCGGAGCCCAGCACUGUGAGCCGAAAGGUGGUAGAGCAACGAGUCAAGGGGUCUGGGUUGUAUUUCUGCUUCUGUUGCUGACUGGCUGGUUCCU